Molecule: ribosomal RNA, 253 nt
Filed under: uncultured bacterium
Lineage: Bacteria
Description: partial 16S ribosomal RNA
Rfam family: Bacterial small subunit ribosomal RNA
Source: RNAcentral
UACGAAGGGGGCUAGCGUUGCUCGGAAUCACUGGGCGUAAAGCGCACGUAGGCGGCUUUCUAAGUCAGGGGUGAAAUCCUGGAGCUCAACUCCAGAACUGCCCUUGAUACUGGAGAGCUUGAGUCCGGGAGAGGUGAGUGGAACUCCGAGUGUAGAGGUGAAAUUCGUAGAUAUUCGGAAGAACACCAGUGGCGAAGGCGGCUCACUGGCCCGGUACUGACGCUGAGGUGCGAAAGCGUGGGGAGCAAACAGG